CCUACGGGGGGCAACAGUGGGGAAUAUUGGACAAUGGGGGCAACCCUGAUCCAGCCAUGCCGCGUGUGUGAAGAAGGCCCUCGGGUUGUAAAGCACUUUCAGUGAGGAAGAACGCCUGGUGGUUAAUACCCAUCAGGAAAGACAUCACUCACAGAAGAAGCACCGGCUAACUCCGUGCCAGCAGCCGCGGUAAUACGGAGGGUGCGAGCGUUAAUCGGAAUUACUGGGCGUAAAGCGCGCGUAGGUGGCUUGAUAAGCCGGUUGUGAAAGCCCCGGGCUCAACCUGGGAACGGCAUCCGGAACUGUCAAGCUAGAGUGCAGGAGAGGAAGGUAGAAUUCCCGGUGUAGCGGUGAAAUGCGUAGAGAUCGGGAGGAAUACCAGUGGCGAAGGCGGCCUUCUGGACUGACACUGACACUGAGGUGCGAAAGCGUGGGUAGCAAACAGGAUUAGAUACCCUAGUGGUC
Molecule: ribosomal RNA, 465 nt
Filed under: Vreelandella stevensii
Lineage: Bacteria; Pseudomonadati; Pseudomonadota; Gammaproteobacteria; Oceanospirillales; Halomonadaceae
Description: partial 16S ribosomal RNA
Rfam family: Bacterial small subunit ribosomal RNA
Source: RNAcentral